This 506-nucleotide ribosomal RNA is filed under the name uncultured bacterium. RNAcentral's name for it is "partial 16S ribosomal RNA". It matches the Rfam family "Bacterial small subunit ribosomal RNA", at positions 29 to 523 of the family's 1533-position model. The record is from RNAcentral.
AGUGAACGCUGGCGGUAGGCCUAACACAUGCAAGUCGAACGGCAGCACAGGAGAGCUUGCUCUCUGGGUGGCGAGUGGCGGACGGGUGAGGAAUACAUCGGAAUCUACUCUGUCGUGGGGGAUAACGUAGGGAAACUUACGCUAAUACCGCAUACGACCUACGGGUGAAAGCAGGGGACCUUCGGGCCUUGCGCGAUUGAAUGAGCCGAUGUCGGAUUAGCUAGUUCGCGGGGUAAAGGCCCACCAAGGCGACGAUCCGUAGCUGGUCUGAGAGGAUGAUCAGCCAAACUGGAACAGAGACACGGUCCAGACUCCUACGGGAGGCAGCAGUGGGGAAUAUUGGACAAUGGGCGCAAGCCUGAUCCAGCCAUACCGCGUGGGUGAAGAAGGCCUUCGGGUUGUAAAGCCCUUUUGUUGGGAAAGAAAUCCAGCUGGCUAAUACCCGGUUGGGAUGACGGUACCCAAAGAAUAAGCACCGGCUAACUUCGUGCCAGCCGCCGCCGUAA